Molecule: ribosomal RNA, 465 nt
Filed under: uncultured bacterium
Lineage: Bacteria
Description: partial 16S ribosomal RNA
Rfam family: Bacterial small subunit ribosomal RNA
Source: RNAcentral
CCUACGGGAGGCAGCAGUAGGGAAUCUUCCACAAUGGACGAAAGUCUGAUGGAGCAACGCCGCGUGAGUGAAGAAGGGUUUCGGCUCGUAAAGCUCUGUUGGUAGUGAAGAAAGAUAGAGGUAGUAACUGGCCUUUAUUUGACGGUAAUUACUUAGAAAGUCACGGCUAACUACGUGUCAGCAGCCGCGGUAAUACGUAGGUGGCAAGCGUUGUCCGGAUUUACUGGGUGUAAAGGGCGUGUAGCCGGGAAGGCAAGUCAGAUGUGAAAUCCGGAGGCUCAACCUCCGAAUUGCAUUUGAAACUGUUUUUCUUGAGUACUGGAGAGGCAGACGGAAUUCCUUGUGUAGCGGUGAAAUGCGUAGAUAUAAGGAGGAACACCAGUGGCGAAGGCGGUCUGCUGGACAGCAACUGACGGUGAGGCGCGAAAGCGUGGGGAGCAAACAGGAUUAGAUACCCCUGUAGUC